ACAAGAUGCUGGAGCAGCAGGAGAAGAUCCGGGAGCAGGAGGAGCACGUGGAAGCUGCCAUCCAGAACCAGCACCUACAGGCGCAGUUCAGCCUCAUGGCUCUCCCUCAGGAAGGGCUCCUCUGACCACCCCGCAUAGGAGAUGGACGGGACAGGGAGGAGGAGGAGGUGCUUCGGCCCAUGAGCAGCAUCCUGGAAGACCUGGAGAGCCGAGAGGCCGUGGUGGGGUGGGCACCAGCGUGGCAGCUGAGCACCCUUCCCUCCAGGUGGAGCUGGUGUUGCAUCUUGCCAGCCACCAAGACCAGGGACAUGAGGGAUUGCUGUCAGCUGCCCAGAACCCUAAUGAUGAGAAACCCUGUCCCUACUAAAAAUACAAAAUUAGCCAGGCGCGAUGGUGCA
Sapajus apella (tufted capuchin) is the source of this 398-nucleotide long non-coding RNA. RefSeq lists it as uncharacterized. The transcript has 4 exons. The record is from RefSeq and is a predicted model, not a curated record. NCBI's taxonomy places the organism in Eukaryota, Metazoa, Chordata, Mammalia, Primates, Cebidae.